UAGAGUUUGAUCUUGGCUCAGGAUGAACGGCUAGCUACAAGGCUUAACACAUGCAAGUCGAGGGGGCAGCAUGGUCUUAGCUUGUUAGGGCCGAUGGCGACCGGCGCACGGGUGAGUAACACGUAUCCAACCUGCCGUCUACUCCUGGACAGCCUUCUGAAAGGAAGAUUAAUACAAGAUGGCAUCAUGAGUCCGCAUGUUCACAUGAUUAAAGGUAUUCCGGUAGACGAUGGGGAUGCGUUCCAUUAGAUAGUAGGCGGGGUAACGGCCCACCUAGUCUUCGAUGGAUAGGGGUUCUGAGAGGAAGGUCCCCCACAUUGGAACUGAGACACGGUCCAAACUCCUACGGGAGGCAGCAGUGAGGAAUAUUGGUCAAUGGGCGAGAGCCUGAACCAGCCAAGUAGCGUGAAGGAUGACUGCCCUAUGGGUUGUAAACUUCUUUUAUAAAGGAAUAAAGUCGGGUAUGGAUACCCGUUUGCAUGUACUUUAUGAAUAAGGAUCGGCUAACUCCGUGCCAGCAGCCGCGGUAAUACGGAGGAUCCGAGCGUUAUCCGGAUUUAUUGGGUUUAAAGGGAGCGUAGAUGGAUGUUUAAGUCAGUUGUGAAAGUUUGCGGCUCAACCGUAAAAUUGCAGUUGAUACUGGAUAUCUUGAGUGCAGUUGAGGCAGGCGGAAUUCGUGGUGUAGCGGUGAAAUGCUUAGAUAUCACGAAGAACUCCGAUUGCGAAGGCAGCCUGCUAAGCUGCAACUGACAUUGAGGCUCGAAAGUGUGGGUAUCAAACAGGAUUAGAUACCCUGGUAGUCCACACGGUAAACGAUAAAUGCUCGCUGUUUGCGAUAUACAGCAAGCGGCCAAGCGAAAGCGUUAAGUAUCCCACCUGGG
Molecule: ribosomal RNA, 881 nt
Filed under: uncultured bacterium
Lineage: Bacteria
Description: bacterial SSU rRNA
Rfam family: Bacterial small subunit ribosomal RNA
Source: RNAcentral